GAUGAACGCUGGCGGCGUGCCUAAUACAUGCAAGUCGAGCGAACAGACGAGGAGCUUGCUCCUCUGACGUUAGCGGCGGACGGGUGAGUAACACGUGGAUAACCUACCUAUAAGACUGGGAUAACUUCGGGAAACCGGAGCUAAUACCGGAUAAUAUAUUGAACCGCAUGGUGCAAUAGUGAAAGACGGUUUUGCUGUCACUUAUAGAUGGAUCCGCGCCGCAUUAGCUAGUUGGUAAGGUAACGGCUUACCAAGGCAACGAUGCGUAGCCGACCUGAGAGGGUGAUCGGCCACACUGGAACUGAGACACGGUCCAGACUCCUACGGGAGGCAGCAGUAGGGAAUCUUCCGCAAUGGGCGCAAGCCUGACGGAGCAACGCCGCGUGAGUGAUGAAGGUCUUCGGAUCGUAAAACUCUGUUAUUAGGGAAGAACAAAUGUGUAAGUAACUAUGCACGUCUUGACGGUACCUAAUCAGAAAGCCACGGCUAACUACGUG
This 497-nucleotide ribosomal RNA is filed under the name uncultured bacterium. RNAcentral describes it as "partial 16S ribosomal RNA". It matches the Rfam family "Bacterial small subunit ribosomal RNA", at positions 28 to 507 of the family's 1533-position model. The record is from RNAcentral.